RNAcentral lists this ribosomal RNA (1212 nucleotides) under Triticum aestivum (bread wheat). RNAcentral's name for it is "partial small subunit ribosomal RNA". The record is from RNAcentral. Lineage: Eukaryota; Viridiplantae; Streptophyta; Magnoliopsida; Poales; Poaceae.
AUGCUCCGACGCGUCGCCGGCGCCGUGGCGGCGCCCCUCCGACGCUCCCUCUGCACGGCGGCCUCGCGCUCGCGCCCUCCCUGGGCCCUCACCUAUAGGAUGGCGCCGCUGGGGCAGGGCGCGCGCCCGUCCUUGGACCUCCACGAGCCCCCCUGCGUCUCCCAGCUCUCCGUCCCCGCCCACCUGGCCGACGGCAUGGACUUGGCCGCCGUAAGCAUCCAGGCCGCCAGCUGCGACGGCCUCCUCCUCCUCGACUUCGCCGGCACCCUCCGCGGUGGCCGCGACUACGGCGACAGCCUGCCCGCAGUGGCCGCUUUUGCCGCCGCCUACGAACCGGGCGUCAGGCGCUUCGUCUGCAACCCCCUCAGCGGCCAGCUGUUCCGCCUCCCGCUCCCCAGCAUGGAUGCCGAGAAGACGACCAUGCCCUUCGGCCUGCUCACCCAAUCCGACGGCUCCCACGGCCCGCCUGACAGGUUCGUGGUCGCCCAACUCUGCCUCCGGGAAAGGGACGGCCAAAGGGUCGUGCGCCGCUUUCUGUCCGAAACAGGGGAGUGGGACGAGCCGCCGCUGUUCGUCCCGGCCGAGGCCCCGGGUUGGCGCGCCAUGCCCCUCCACGAGGUGGUGGCGUUCGGCGACCGGCUGUGGUGGCUCGACCCUUACUUUGGCGUCUUCUCUGUCGACCCAUUCAGUGACCGGCCGGAGCAUGGCUUCGUCGCGCUGCCGCGCCCGCUGCCCAACUUUGACAUGGAGGUGCAGCCGGAACUGUACCGGCUCUUGGGUGUCAGCGAGGGGAAGCUGCGCUAUGUCGAAUUGACCAUCAAGGAGCCGUUUAUGCUCUACUCGUUCUCGCUCGACGAUGAGGGAUCCUCCUGGAAGCUAACACAUGAGACGAGAAUGAACCUGGUGUUGCCUGACAAGUCUACACCACGGUUAGACCAAAUGCCGUGGAUUUCUGCAAUUGAUCCAUUCAAUGCCAACAUAUUGUACUUCCAGCAUGGUGAAAUUAUUAGUGCUCUCGACUUGGCUGAGGGGGAAAGGAUUGGGAGGAGUGCUUUUCCAGACAACAUCAAAUCUCUGUACCACGGCUUUGUGCCCCUAAUACUCCCGGCAUGGCUCCCCAGGGCAGGAACACUUCCGAGCAAGACGACCAAUUGCACAAGUAAGACUUUGGCAGACAUGCUGGUUCGUGUUGACAAAGACCGGAGAAACUGA